UAGAGUUUGAUCAUGGCUCAGGAUGAACGCUGGCGGCGUGCCUAAUACAUGCAAGUCGAACGAGGUGCCUUUGUAGCAAUACGAGGGUAUCCUAGUGGCGAACGGGUGAGUAACGCGUUGGUGACCUACCCCGAAGUGUGGGAUAACAGUCCGAAAGGACUGCUAAUACCGCAUGCGGUCAUCGGCUUCAGAAACCGAUGUCCAAAGCAGCAAUGCGCUUUGGGAGGGACCUGCGUCCCAUCAGCUAGUUGGUAGGGUAACGGCCUACCAAGGCGACGACGGGUAGGGGACCUGAGAGGGUGACCCCCCACAAUGGAACUGAAAUACGGUCCAUACACCUACGGGUGGCAGCAGUAGGGAAUAUUGCACAAUGGGCGAAAGCCUGAUGCAGCAACGCCGCGUGCACGAUGAAGGUCUUCGGAUCGUAAAGUGCUUUUCUGGGAGAUGAGAAAGGACAGUAUCCCAGGAAUAAGUCUCGGCUAACUACGUGCCAGCCGCCGCGGUAAUAC
RNAcentral lists this ribosomal RNA (509 nucleotides) under uncultured Bellilinea sp. Its description in RNAcentral is "bacterial SSU rRNA". It matches the Rfam family "Bacterial small subunit ribosomal RNA", at positions 1 to 526 of the family's 1533-position model. The record is from RNAcentral. Lineage: Bacteria; Bacillati; Chloroflexota; Anaerolineae; Anaerolineales; Anaerolineaceae.